This 251-nucleotide ribosomal RNA is filed under the name uncultured prokaryote. RNAcentral's name for it is "partial 16S rRNA". It matches the Rfam family "Bacterial small subunit ribosomal RNA", at positions 525 to 775 of the family's 1533-position model. The record is from RNAcentral.
ACGUAGGGGGCAAGCGUUGUCCGGAAUGACUGGGCGUAAAGGGCGUGUAGGCGGCCGAUUAAGUCUGGAGUGUACGUCCUGCUGUCAAGGUGGGAAUUGCUUUGGAGACUGGUUGGCUUGAGUGCGGAAAAGGCAAGUGGAAUUCCCAGUAUAGCGGUGAAAUGCGUAGAGCUUGGGAGGAGCCCCGGUGGCGAAGACGACUUGCUGGGCCGUUACUUAUUCUGAGGCGCGAAAGCGUGGGGAGCGAACAG